This 496-nucleotide ribosomal RNA is filed under the name uncultured bacterium. RNAcentral describes it as "partial 16S ribosomal RNA". It matches the Rfam family "Bacterial small subunit ribosomal RNA", at positions 28 to 506 of the family's 1533-position model. The record is from RNAcentral.
GAUGAACGCUGGCGGCGUGCCUAAUACAUGCAAGUCGAGCGAACGGACGAGAAGCUUGCUUCUCUGAUGUUAGCGGCGGACGGGUGAGUAACACGUGGAUAACCUACCUAUAAGACUGGGAUAACUUCGGGAAACCGGAGCUAAUACCGGAUAAUAUUUUGAACCGCAUGGUUCAAAAGUGAAAGACGGUCUUGCUGUCACUUAUAGAUGGAUCCGCGCUGCAUUAGCUAGUUGGUAAGGUAACGGCUUACCAAGGCAACGAUGCAUAGCCGACCUGAGAGGGUGAUCGGCCACACUGGAACUGAGACACGGUCCAGACUCCUACGGGAGGCAGCAGUAGGGAAUCUUCCGUAAUGGGCGAAAGCCUGACGGAGCAACGCCGCGGGAGUGAUGAAUGUCUUCGGAUCGUAAAACGCUGUUAUUAGGGAAGAACAAAUGUGUAAGUAACUAUGCACGUCUUGACGGUACCUAAUCAGAAAGCCACGGCUAACUACGU